RNAcentral lists this ribosomal RNA (468 nucleotides) under uncultured bacterium. RNAcentral describes it as "partial 16S ribosomal RNA". It matches the Rfam family "Bacterial small subunit ribosomal RNA", at positions 28 to 507 of the family's 1533-position model. The record is from RNAcentral.
GACGAACGCUGGCGGCGCGCCUAACACAUGCAAGUCGAACGGAGUCACGAGGAGCUUGCUUUUCUUGACUUAGUGGCGAACGGGUGAGUAACGCGUGAGUAACCUGCCCUGGAGUGGGGGACAACAGUUGGAAACGACUGCUAAUACCGCAUAAGCCCACGGAUCCGCAUGGACCUGCGGGAAAAGGAUUUAUUCGCUUCAGGAUGGACUCGCGUCCAAUUAGCUAGUUGGUGAGGUAACGGCCCACCAAGGCGACGAUUGGUAGCCGGACUGAGAGGUUGAACGGCCACAUUGGGACUGAGACACGGCCCAGACUCCUACGGGAGGCAGCAGUGGGGGAUAUUGCACAAUGGGGGAAACCCUGAUGCAGCGACGCCGCGUGGAGGAAGAAGGUUUUCGGAUUGUAAACUCCUGUCGUUAGGGACGAUAAUGACGGUACCUAACAAGAAAGCACCGGCUAACUACGUG